UGCAAAGUACUAGAUAGCGGAGAGUAAAGUCCUGUAAUUAAUCUUAUUUUUAAUUCAAAUUGGAUUUUACUAAGUAU
Molecule: transfer RNA, 77 nt
Filed under: Aureococcus anophagefferens
Lineage: Eukaryota; Pelagophyceae; Pelagomonadales; Pelagomonadaceae
Source: RNAcentral